AGAAACCCGAAUCACCAGCCCACGCUCCCACCAUCGUCGCUCAAGAAGAAAAAAAAGAAUACACUGCCGCCAGACACACACGUCUCGUCCCCACCUCUUCCCGACCCCUCGCUCCCGAUCUCGUCUCUUUCCUGCCAAAUAUCGUCGCCGCCGGUGAGAGGAAGGAGCGCAGCGGAGGCACCGAGGAGGAGGGGGUCGCCUCGCUCGCUUCUGCUGACGUCGAUCAUGCCCACUGCGGCGGGCGCGGCGAGGCGAGCCCCAAGCCGCAGGACACCGGGCACGGCCACCCCCGCUGCCGCCGCCGCCGCAGGGACAUGAAGAGCAGGGCCGCGGGAGUUGGCGAGGGCUCCGAGGAGGGAUCCGGCCCCGAUCCUGACCCGCAGCCCCAGGUGGAGGUGGAGUACGUGCCGGAGAAGCCCGACCUCGGCGCCGACCAUCCCCGCCUCCGCGCGUGUGUCUUCGUUGCCAUCCGGUGCAGACGCCCAUCCCGCGCUACCUGCAAUGACAGAUUGAUGCCUUAUUCCCGGACUGGGUCUUGUGACAAUAAACCUGGAGACAUACAAGAUCGAUGAGGUAGACGUUGUUCAAUUUGUUGUUUAGUGAUCUACUCUUUUUCUCAAGGUUGGAGGAUCCUUUCUUCAUGUGCGUCUUCCUCCUGCAGAUGUGAUCGUUGGUA
This 676-nucleotide ribosomal RNA is filed under the name Triticum aestivum (bread wheat). RNAcentral describes it as "partial small subunit ribosomal RNA". Lineage: Eukaryota; Viridiplantae; Streptophyta; Magnoliopsida; Poales; Poaceae. The record is from RNAcentral.